UCAGGAUGAACGCUAGCGGCAGGCCUAAUACAUGCAAGUCGGACGGGAUCUCCCCUUCGGGGGAGUGAGAGUGGCGCACGGGUGCGUAACGCGUAUGCAACCAACCCCUUUCCGGGGGACAGCCGGUGGAAACGCCGGGUAAUACCCCAUGUCGAUGCAGGGAGACAUCUUCCAGCAUUGAAAGACCUCGGUCGGAGAGGGACGGGCAUGCGUCCCAUUAGCUGGUUGGCGGGGCAACGGCCCACCAAGGCGACGAUGGGUAGGGGAUCUGAGAGGACGGUCCCCCACACUGGUACUGAGACACGGACCAGACUCCUACGGGAGGCAGCAGUAAGGAAUAUUGGGCAAUGGGGGGAACCCUGACCCAGCCAUGCCCGCGUGAGGGAAUGAGGCCCUACGGGUCGUGAACCUCUUUUGUUCGGGGACAAGGACGUGGUCGAGAACCACGUUUGCGGGUACCGGACGAAUAAGCAUCGGCUAACUCCGUGCCAGCAGCCGC
This 499-nucleotide ribosomal RNA is filed under the name uncultured bacterium. RNAcentral describes it as "bacterial SSU rRNA". It matches the Rfam family "Bacterial small subunit ribosomal RNA", at positions 24 to 518 of the family's 1533-position model. The record is from RNAcentral.